UACGUAGGGUGCGAGCGUUGUCCGGAAUUAUUGGGCGUAAAGAGCUUGUAGGCGGUUUGUCGCGUCUGCUGUGAAAAUCCGGGGCUCAACCCCGGACUUGCAGUGGGUACGGGCAGACUAGAGUGUGGUAGGGGAGACUGGAAUUCCUGGUGUAGCGGUGGAAUGCGCAGAUAUCAGGAGGAACACCGAUGGCGAAGGCAGGUCUCUGGGCAUUAACUGACGCUGAGGAGCGAAAGCAUGGGGAGCGAACAGG
RNAcentral lists this ribosomal RNA (253 nucleotides) under uncultured bacterium. RNAcentral's name for it is "partial 16S ribosomal RNA". It matches the Rfam family "Bacterial small subunit ribosomal RNA", at positions 524 to 776 of the family's 1533-position model. The record is from RNAcentral.